CGCUGGCGGCAUGCCUAACACAUGCAAGUCGAACGGCAGCACGGGAGCUUGCUCCUGGUGGCGAGUGGCGGACGGUGAGUAAUGCAUAGGAAUCUCGCCAGUAGGCGGGGAACAACUUAGGGGAAACUCAAGCUAAUACCGCAUGCGCCGUACGGGGAAAGCGGGGACCUUCGGGCCUCGCACUAUUGGAUGAGCCUAUGUCAGAUUAGCUUGUUGGUGGGGUAACGGCCUACCAAGGCGACGAUCUGUAGCUGGUCUGAGAGGACGAUCAGCCACACUGGGACUGAGACACGGCCCAGACUCCUACGGGAGGCAGCAGUGGGGAAUAUUGCACAAUGGGCGAAAGCCUGAUGCAGCAAUGCCGCGUGUGUGAAGAAGGCCUGCGGGUUGUAAAGCACUUUCAGUAGGGAGGAAACAGUAGCCGGUUAAUAUCCGGUUGCCUUGACGUUACCUACAGAAGGAGCACCGGCUAACUCUGUG
Molecule: ribosomal RNA, 480 nt
Filed under: uncultured bacterium
Lineage: Bacteria
Description: bacterial SSU rRNA
Rfam family: Bacterial small subunit ribosomal RNA
Source: RNAcentral